RNAcentral lists this ribosomal RNA (301 nucleotides) under uncultured bacterium. RNAcentral describes it as "partial 16S ribosomal RNA". It matches the Rfam family "Bacterial small subunit ribosomal RNA", at positions 509 to 808 of the family's 1533-position model. The record is from RNAcentral.
CAGCCGCCGCGGGAAUACGUAGGUGGCAAGCGUUGUCCGGAAUUAUUGGGCGUAAAGGGCUCGCAGGCGGUUUCUUAAGUCUGAUGUGAAAGCCCCCGGCUCAACCGGGGAGGGUCAUUGGAAACUGGGAAACUUGAGUGCAGAAGAGGAGAGUGGAAUUCCACGUGUAGCGGUGAAAUGCGUAGAGAUGUGGAGGAACACCAGUGGCGAAGGCGACUCUCUGGUCUGUAACUGACGCUGAGGAGCGAAAGCGUGGGGAGCGAACAGGAUUAGAACCCCCGUAGUCCCUGUCUCUUAUACA